This is a long non-coding RNA of Sander lucioperca (pikeperch), 1000 nucleotides long. RefSeq lists it as uncharacterized. The record is from RefSeq and is a predicted model, not a curated record. Lineage: Eukaryota; Metazoa; Chordata; Actinopteri; Perciformes; Percidae. The transcript has 3 exons.
CAUAGUGCACUGAUAAUUUAGACACAAAUAUAACUCAAUAUUCAACCAAUGAGAUUGUAUCUGCUUCCAGAGCAACUUUCUCCAUGACUCCAAAAUAUAGCAACAAAAAAAGGGGGAACAAUAAGAAUUCCCUUGAGUCUUGCUUGAUUGAAAAAUUACAUUUUUAUUCAAUUUAAAGAGUAACUUUUUUUUUUUUUUUUUAGUUGUCUUCUGUGUAAGCCAAGGAGGAAGUCAUUUUCUGGGACAACGCUUCCCAAAAAGAUUCAAGCAGAAAGAAAAACUAAAACUUUUCUUUAUUAAAACAGACAAAUUUAGUGGUAAUUUUCUCCUGGGACAACUCUUCCCCAAACAAAGGUGCCUUUAGAAUGAUAGCUCAGCUCAGUAAGCCUUACAUUACACGGUGAACCUUUUCUAUUUGCAAUAGCAUCAAAGUAACAAAAACGAAAUCUUUUCAAAUUUAUAGAACAUGUAAAUUAACACUGCCAAUAAAUCAUCAAUUCACAUUUCUUUUUCAAAUCUACAAAGAAAUUACAAAAAUGUAACUUUAAAUUUGUCUUCAAAAAAGUAUAAAAUGUCUUGUCAGUAAGGAACCUCGGAGUCAAAUGGGAGCAGACAUUUAGUGGUGAACCAUUGGUGGUGAGAAAACAGAUUCAUUAAAAUUCCAUUGAAUGUACAGCUUGACAUUUUUUUAUUCACCAAGACUGUCGUGUUGUAGAUGAAAAGACUUUACAUUGACCUUUAGAUCUCAUAUGUUCAUGUCCUCUAAAUGCAGUGUAGUUAUUGCGCCACAAUAUGACAAGUAGCUGGUAAUAAAAACAGACAAAAAAAUUAAAAAAAAAGUCCAGAUAUUGCUUUAAUGUUGGAUCUGCUUUUGAGCUUGAUUGGGAAUAGCAACCAUGUGCCAGAGAUCAGCCAGUAAGAUUCAACAAGAGAAAAAAAAUAUAUAUGAUAGACUGCAUUAUCCCAGGCAUGAGACUGUAGGGGAGAACAUACAUAAUUC